Molecule: ribosomal RNA, 497 nt
Filed under: uncultured bacterium
Lineage: Bacteria
Description: partial 16S ribosomal RNA
Rfam family: Bacterial small subunit ribosomal RNA
Source: RNAcentral
GAUGAACGCUGGCGGCGUGCCUAAUACAUGCAAGUCGAGCGAACGGACGAGAAGCUUGCUUCUCUGAUGUUAGCGGCGGACGGGGGAGUAACACGUGGAUAACCUACCUAUAAGACUGGGAUAACUUCGGGAAACCGGAGCUAAUACCGGAUAAUAUUUUGAACCGCAUGGUUCAAAAGUGAAGGACGGUCUUGCUGUCACUUAUAGAUGGAUCCGCGCUGCAUUUGCUAGUUGGUAAGGUAACGGCUUACCAAGGCAACGAUGCAUAGCCGCCCUGAGAGGGUGAUCGGCCACACUGGAACUGCGACACGGUCCAGACUCCUACGGGAGGCAGCAGUAGGGAAUCUUCCGCAAUGGGCGAAAGCCUGACGGAGCAACGCCGCGUGAGUGAUGAAGGUCUUCGGAUCGUAAAACUCUGUUAUUAGGGAAGAACAUAUGUGUAAGUAACUGUGCACAUCUUGACGGUACCUAAUCAGAAAGCCACGGCUAACUACGUG